UACGUAGGGGGCAAGCGUUGUCCGGAAUUAUUGGGCGUAAAGAGCGUGUAGGCGGCCAGAUAAGUCCGCUGUGAAAUCUCGAGGCUCAACUUCGAGCUGUCGGUGGAAACUAUCUGGCUAGAGUCCGGAAGAGGAGAAUGGAAUUCCUGGUGUAGCGGUGAAAUGCGCAGAUAUCAGGAGGAACACCGGUGGCGAAGGCGGUUCUCUGGGCCUUACCUGACGCUGAGGAGCGAAAGCAUGGGGAGCAAACAGG
This 253-nucleotide ribosomal RNA is filed under the name uncultured bacterium. Its description in RNAcentral is "partial 16S ribosomal RNA". It matches the Rfam family "Bacterial small subunit ribosomal RNA", at positions 524 to 776 of the family's 1533-position model. The record is from RNAcentral.